This 486-nucleotide ribosomal RNA is filed under the name uncultured bacterium. RNAcentral's name for it is "partial 16S ribosomal RNA". It matches the Rfam family "Bacterial small subunit ribosomal RNA", at positions 30 to 507 of the family's 1533-position model. The record is from RNAcentral.
AUUGAACGCUGGCGGCAUGCCUUACACAUGCAAGUCGAACGGCAGCACGGGUGCUUGCACCUGGUGGCGAGUGGCGAACGGGUGAGUAAUACAUCGGAACAUGUCCUGUAGUGGGGGAUAGCCCGGCGAAAGCCGGAUUAAUACCGCAUACGAUCUACGGAUGAAAGCGGGGGACCUUCGGGCCUCGCGCUAUAGGGUUGGCCGAUGGCUGAUUAGCUAGUUGGUGGGGUAAGGGCCUACCAAGGCGACGAUCAGUAGAUGGUCUGAGAGGACGACCAGCCACACUGGGACUGAGACACGGCCCAGACUCCUACGGGAGGCAGCAGUGGGGAAUUUUGGACAAUGGGCGAAAGCCUGAUCCAGCAAUGCCGCGUGUGUGAAGAAGGCCUUCGGGUUGUAAAGCACUUUUGUCCGGAAAGAAAUCCUUGGCUCUAAUACAGUCGGGGGAUGACGGUACCGGAAGAAUAAGCACCGGCUAACUACGUG